GACGAACGCUGGCGGCGUGCUUAACACAUGCAAGUCGAACGGAAAGGCCCUGCUUUUGUGGGGUGCUCGAGUGGCGAACGGGUGAGUAACACGUGAGUAACCUGCCCUUGACUUUGGGAUAACUUCAGGAAACUGGGGCUAAUACCGGAUAGGAGCUCCUGCUGCAUGGUGGGGGUUGGAAAGUUUCGGCGGUUGGGGAUGGACUCGCGGCUUAUCAGCUUGUUGGUGGGGUAGUGGCUUACCAAGGCUUUGACGGGUAGCCGGCCUGAGAGGGUGACCGGCCUCAUUGGGACUAAGAUACGGCCCAGACUCCUACGGGAGGCAGCGGUGGGGAAUAUUGCACAAUGGGCGGAAGCCUGAUGCAGCAGCGCCGCGUGCGGGAUGACGGCCUUCGGGUUGUAAACCGCUUUCGCCUGUGACGAAGCGUGAGUGACGGUAAUGAGUAAAGAAGCACCGGCUAACCACGUG
This 468-nucleotide ribosomal RNA is filed under the name uncultured bacterium. Its description in RNAcentral is "partial 16S ribosomal RNA". It matches the Rfam family "Bacterial small subunit ribosomal RNA", at positions 28 to 507 of the family's 1533-position model. The record is from RNAcentral.